RNAcentral lists this ribosomal RNA (689 nucleotides) under uncultured bacterium. RNAcentral's name for it is "bacterial SSU rRNA". It matches the Rfam family "Bacterial small subunit ribosomal RNA", at positions 54 to 737 of the family's 1533-position model. The record is from RNAcentral.
AAUGCAGUCGAACGGACCAUUAAUUUAUUAGUGGUUAGUGGCGAAAGGGUUAGUAAUGGAUAGGUAACGUACCCUAUGCUUCGGAAUAGCGUCGGUUUCUUCGGAAACCUACCGAAAGGGGCGGUAAUACCGGAUAAUAUCAUAAGUUGAUAGACUUAUGAUCAAAGAUUUAUCGGCAAAGGAGCGGCCUAUCUCCUAUCAGCUUGUUGGUGAGGUAACGGCUCACCAAGGCAAUGACGGGUAGCGGAACUGAGAGGUUGACCCGCAACAUCGGGACUGAGACACUGCCCGGACCUCCACGGAGGGCUGCAGUAACGAAUAUUGCGCAAUGGGCGAAAGCCUGACGCAGCGACGCCGCGUGUGGGAAGAAGUUUUUCGGAAUGUAAACCACUGUCAGGGUGAAGAAAGUCUACUCCGGUAGAUUGAUCUAACCCACAGGAAGUCACGGCUAACUUCGUGCCAGCAGCCGCGGUAAGACGAAGGUGGCAAGCGUUGUUCGGUGUUACUGGGCUUAAAGCGUGUGUAGGCGGAAAAGUAAGCGUCUUGUGAAAGCCCCCGGCUUAACCGGGGAAUUGCUCGGCGAACUACUUUUCUUGAGGCAAGUAGGGGUGCACGGAACUCUUGGUGGAGCGGUGGAAUGCGUAGAUAUCAAGAGGAACGCCGGUGGAGAAAUCGGUGCACUGGGCUUG